GAGUUUGAUCCUGGCUCAGGACGAACGCUGGCGGCGCGCCUAACACAUGCAAGUCGAACGGAGUCAAGAGGAGCUUGCUUUUCUUGACUUAGUGGCGAACGGGUGAGUAACGCGUGAGUAACCUGCCCUGGAGUGGGGGACAACAGUUGGAAACGACUGCUAAUACCGCAUAAGCCCACGAUCCGGCAUCGGAUUGAGGGAAAAGGAUUUAUUCGCUUCAGGAUGGACUCGCGUCCAAUUAGCUAGUUGGUGAGGUAACGGCCCACCAAGGCGACGAUUGGUAGCCGGACUGAGAGGUUGAACGGCCACAUUGGGACUGAGACACGGCCCAGACUCCUACGGGAGGCAGCAGUGGGGGAUAUUGCACAAUGGGGGAAACCCUGAUGCAGCGACGCCGCGUGGAGGAAGAAGGUUUUCGGAUUGUAAACUCCUGUCGUUAGGGACGAUAAUGACGGUACCUAACAAGAAAGCACCGGCUAACUACGUGCCAGCCGCCGCGGUAAUUC
RNAcentral lists this ribosomal RNA (506 nucleotides) under uncultured bacterium. RNAcentral's name for it is "bacterial SSU rRNA". It matches the Rfam family "Bacterial small subunit ribosomal RNA", at positions 9 to 526 of the family's 1533-position model. The record is from RNAcentral.